This 768-nucleotide ribosomal RNA is filed under the name Triticum aestivum (bread wheat). Its description in RNAcentral is "partial small subunit ribosomal RNA". Lineage: Eukaryota; Viridiplantae; Streptophyta; Magnoliopsida; Poales; Poaceae. The record is from RNAcentral.
CUGCAUAUAUCUGUCAAGACGGUGACUGGCAAGAUCAUUGAUAUUGGUGUUUGGAGUUCAGAUACCAUCAAGCAUGUCAAGGUGGUGAUUCACAGUCGGGGUGGAAUGCCUUGGUACGAGCAGCGCCUCAUCUUUGCCGGCAAGGAGCUGGAGGAUGGCCACACCCUGGCAGACUACAACAUUGAGGAUUCGUGCACUCUUGAGCUUGUCCGGUGGCUGCUUAUCUAUGUCAAGAUGCUGACCGGCAGCACCAUUGAUCUUGCGGUUUUGAGUUCAGACAAGAUCGAGGAUGUCAAGGCGAUGAUUUAUGACCAGGAGGGCGUUCGCUUGUUUGAGCAGCGCCUCAUCUUUGCCGGCAAGCAGCUCGAGGAUGGCCGCACCCUGGCGGACUACGACAUUCAGAAGACGCUUCACCUCGUCCUUCGCCUCAGAGGGGGUAGAAUGAUCCUCAUCAAGACGCGGACUGGCAACACCUUUCUUCCCACAGGGGUUUGGAUUGACAACACGAUUGAGGAUUUCAAGGCCGCGAUCCACAAGGAAGAGGGCAUUCCCCCAUCGCAGCAGCACCUCUUCAUUGCCGGGAAGCCGCUGGAGAACGACCGCACCCUGGCGAGCUACAUCAGCCAUGAUUCUGACAUCCUCUACGUCAGCCCUGAUUCCCACAUGGUCAUUCACCUUUUGUGUCGGCGCGCGCCGCUGCCUCGUCGGAUUGUGGACAGGGCGCGCAGGCUGCGGAACAAGCAGGAGCUUGGGCAUGGCUGUCUGUAA